UACGGAGGGUGCAAACGUUGCUCGGAAUUAUUGGGCGUAAAGCGCACGUAGGCGGCCGACUAAGUCGGGUGUGAAAGCCCAGGGCUCAACCCUGGAAGUGCACUCGAAACUGGUCGGCUUGAAUAUGGAAGAGGGUCGCGGAAUUCCCGGUGUAGAGGUGAAAUUCGUAGAUAUCGGGAGGAACACCAGUGGCGAAGGCGGCGACCUGGGCCAAUAUUGACGCUGAGGUGCGAAAGCGUGGGGAGCAAACAGG
RNAcentral lists this ribosomal RNA (253 nucleotides) under uncultured bacterium. Its description in RNAcentral is "partial 16S ribosomal RNA". It matches the Rfam family "Bacterial small subunit ribosomal RNA", at positions 524 to 776 of the family's 1533-position model. The record is from RNAcentral.